This 802-nucleotide ribosomal RNA is filed under the name uncultured Bacillota bacterium. Its description in RNAcentral is "bacterial SSU rRNA". It matches the Rfam family "Bacterial small subunit ribosomal RNA", at positions 66 to 847 of the family's 1533-position model. Lineage: Bacteria; Bacillati; Bacillota. The record is from RNAcentral.
AAUCGUCGGGUUAGCAAUAAUUCGGCGGUUCUAGUGGCGCACGGGUGAGUAACACGUGGGUAACCUGCCCUAGAGUUCGGGAUACCCUCUCGAAAGGGAGGCUAAUACCGGAUACGGUCCUCGGGUCGACAGAUCUGGGGAAGAAAGGUGGCGCAAGCUGCCGCUCUUGGAGGGGCUCGCGGCCUAUCAGCUAGUUGGCGGGGUAACGGCCCACCAAGGCUAUGACGGGUAGCUGGUCUGAGAGGACGACCAGCCACACGGGGACUGAGACACGGCCCCGACUCCUACGGGAGGCAGCAGUGGGGAAUUUUCCGCAAUGGGCGAAAGCCUGACGGAGUGACGCCGCGUGUGGGACGAAGGCCUUCGGGUCGUAAACCACUGUCAGUGGGAAAGAUGGGUGCCGGCGCGAUAACCGCCGGUAUCUGACGGCACCUGCAGAGGAAGCCCCGGCCAACUCUGUGCCAGCAGCCGCGGUAAGACAGAGGGGGCAAGCGUUGCUCGGAAUUACUGGGCGUAAAGGGCGCGUAGGCGGAAUGGCAAGUCGGUCGUGAAAUCCUUCGGCUCAACCGAAGAACGUCGAUCGAAACUGCCGUUCUUGAGGAUUGCAGAGGAGACUGGAAUUCCCGGUGUAGCGGUGAAAUGUGUAGAGAUCGGGAGGAACACCGGUGGCGAANGCGGGUCUCUGGGCAAUUCCUGACGCUGAGGCGCGAAAGCGUGGGGAGCAAACGGGAUUAGAUACCCCGGUAGUCCACGCUGUAAACGAUGACGACUAGGUGUGGGGGGGUUCAGUCCCUUCCGUGCC